GAUUUCUGGUUUAAUGCACCUGGCCCGCGGCCACUAGGCUUGUGAGUGCCGGCGCGCGUUUACCAUCCUUCUAGAAAACGAUUCUGCCAUUAGCUUGGUUGGGAUCGCGAUCUAGAUCUUUUACUUUGAAAAAAUUAGAGUGUUUAAAGCAGGCUUUUGCUAUGAAUACAUUAGCAUGGAAUAAUAAUCUAGGACUUCGGUUCUAUUUUGUUGGUUUCUAUAACUGAAGUAAUGAUUGAUAGGGAUAGUUGGGGGUGCUAGUAUUGGCCGGCCAGAGGUGAAAUUCUUGGAUUCGGUCAAGACUAACUUAUGCGAAAGCAUU
This 322-nucleotide ribosomal RNA is filed under the name uncultured Flectomonas. Its description in RNAcentral is "SSU rRNA". The stretch from base 105 to 322 matches the Rfam family "Eukaryotic small subunit ribosomal RNA", at positions 736 to 955 of the family's 1831-position model. Lineage: Eukaryota; Cercozoa; Glissomonadida. The record is from RNAcentral.